UACCCCCUAGCAAUGGGCAAGGAGACACCUGAUUAGUGGUGGCGUUCUUUUAUCCAUCGGGGGCAAAGCAGAUACACAGCCUUAGUUCAUCCUAGCUUGAUGCCUGUCUUGGUUUCAUGCCUGAGGCACAUUA
This is a small nucleolar RNA of Pipistrellus kuhlii (Kuhl's pipistrelle), 133 nucleotides long. RefSeq annotates it as small nucleolar RNA SNORA48. The transcript has a single exon. The record is from RefSeq and is a predicted model, not a curated record. Lineage: Eukaryota; Metazoa; Chordata; Mammalia; Chiroptera; Vespertilionidae.